This 543-nucleotide ribosomal RNA is filed under the name uncultured Chromatiales bacterium. RNAcentral describes it as "bacterial SSU rRNA". It matches the Rfam family "Bacterial small subunit ribosomal RNA", at positions 90 to 632 of the family's 1533-position model. The record is from RNAcentral. Lineage: Bacteria; Pseudomonadati; Pseudomonadota; Gammaproteobacteria; Chromatiales.
GGCGAGUGGCGGACGGGUGAGUAACGCGUAGGGAUCUGCCCUGUAGUGGGGGACAACCCGGGGAAACCCGGGCUAAUACCGCAUGAAACUCUGAGGAGGAAAGCUGGGGGUAACCCUGGCGCUACGGGAGGAACCUGCGUCCGAUUAGCUAGCUGGUGAGGUAACGGCUCACCAGGGCGAUGAUCGGUAGCUGGUCUGAGAGGAUGACCAGCCACACUGGGACUGAGACACGGCCCAGACUCCUACGGGAGGCAGCAGUGGGGAAUAUUGGACAAUGGGGGCAACCCUGAUCCAGCAAUGCCGCGUGUGUGAAGAAGGCCUUCGGGUUGUAAAGCACUUUGGGCGGGGAAGAAGGCAUUCUGUUUAAGAGAUGGGAUGUUUGACGGUACCCGCAGAACAAGCACCGGCUAACUCUGUGCCAGCAGCCGCGGUAAUACAGAGGGUGCGAGCGUUAAUCGGAAUUACUGGGCGUAAAGGGCGCGUAGGCGGUCAUGCAAGUGAGAUGUGAAAUCCCCGGGCUUAACCUGGGAACUGCAUUUUAGA